This 264-nucleotide ribosomal RNA is filed under the name uncultured bacterium. Its description in RNAcentral is "partial 16S ribosomal RNA". The record is from RNAcentral.
CUGCUGCCUUCCGUAGGAGUUUGGGCCGUGUCUCAGUCCCAAUGUGGCCGUCCACCCUCUCAGGCCGGCUACCGAUCGCUGCCUUGGUGGGCCGUUACCCCGCCAACUAGCUAAUCAGACGCGGAUCCAUCGUAUACCACCGGAGUUUUUCACACUGCCCCAUGCGGAGCCGUGCGCUUAUGCGGUAUUAGCACCUAUUUCUAAGUGUUAUCCCCCGGUAUACGGCAGGUUAUCCACGCGUUACUCACCCGUCCGCCACUAACU